UACGUAGGGUGCGAGCGUUAAUCGGAAUUACUGGGCGUAAAGCGUGCGCAGGCGGUUUUGUAAGCCAGAUGUGAAAUCCCCGGGCUUAACCUGGGAAUGGCAUUUGGGACUGCAAGGCUUGAGUGCGGCAGAGGAGACUAGAAUUCCUGGUGUAGCAGUGAAAUGCGUAGAUAUCAGGAGGAAUACCGAUGGCGAAGGCAAUCCCUUGGGCCUGCACUGACGCUCAUGCACGAAAGCGCGGGGAGCAAACAGG
This 253-nucleotide ribosomal RNA is filed under the name uncultured bacterium. RNAcentral's name for it is "partial 16S ribosomal RNA". It matches the Rfam family "Bacterial small subunit ribosomal RNA", at positions 524 to 776 of the family's 1533-position model. The record is from RNAcentral.